Pelobates fuscus (common spadefoot toad) is the source of this 169-nucleotide long non-coding RNA. RefSeq lists it as uncharacterized. The transcript is spliced from 3 exons. The record is from RefSeq and is a predicted model, not a curated record. NCBI's taxonomy places the organism in Eukaryota, Metazoa, Chordata, Amphibia, Anura, Pelobatidae.
CUCAAGACUAGGGGUCAUAAGGCAUCUCCUGGUUACAACUACAUAAUGAAUACCCAAGACACAGAUAUGGGAAAAAUCAGUCCGCCAACGAAUGAAAAUGGGUUACCCAGAAGGCUCACGGUCGCCUCACAAGGUCCUUUUAAUACUGGAGUAUUGGCUGACAGACCCA